GCCGAGCCAAGUAGCGAUGGCUUGUCACCCGGGCGGGGGGCAUUAAGGUGGUGUGGAUGCCUCGUGUGGCGCUUGGGCCUGGACUUGCGGUUGCUGUCUGCGGCCCGCCCGUUCCAAGUUGCGUAGUGGGUUGUGGGCGCCUUGGCGAAGGCCUCGGCGUCUCAACACCUAGAGUGGUGGGCAAUGCGUUAGGCUGGCCUCACAGAGCAGCGAAUACCACCCGCUUCCAACGGUGGGAGGAUAACGGGCCGCUGCUCCGUAGGCCCGAUUAGGCCCAUGCGCCCCCUUUGGCAGACCACCAUCUUU
This 306-nucleotide signal recognition particle RNA is filed under the name Dichanthelium oligosanthes. Its description in RNAcentral is "Plant signal recognition particle RNA". It matches the Rfam family "Plant signal recognition particle RNA". Lineage: Eukaryota; Viridiplantae; Streptophyta; Magnoliopsida; Poales; Poaceae. The record is from Rfam by way of RNAcentral.